Long non-coding RNA from Aquila chrysaetos chrysaetos, 255 nucleotides. RefSeq lists it as uncharacterized. Lineage: Eukaryota; Metazoa; Chordata; Aves; Accipitriformes; Accipitridae. The transcript has 3 exons. The record is from RefSeq and is a predicted model, not a curated record.
UCCCAGAUGGCUCUGUUGUGCCCUGCAUCAGCCCCCGGAAAGCCUGUAUCAUCGGACAAGAGACCUUUCAGCUGGAGAAGUCAGUAACCGUUCAAGCUUGGCCCAGAUCCUUAGGAGGCUUCAGAUGUGAAUUUGCAAAAAACAACCAACCCGACAACUUGCCCAAAAUUCCUCCCAGGAAGAUCUCUCAUCUUCUGAACCUUUGGGAGGGAACAAGUGAUUUAGGAUCUGAAGGACACCUAAUUCGAUGCUGUC